CAAACCCCAUAAACCUAACUUGUUGUCACUAUUCACGCUCACCCCGAACCCAACAAAUAUGGUAACAUGAAAUUAUGGUUUUGUACACUGACCCACGAAGAAAUGGCCCGAAAAGGCAUCAGAACGGUAGACCUACUGCACGGCGGGGUCGACCUCACAAUUAUCCAAGCCCGCUGCAACUUGGACAUGUUCUCUGAGAGCUUCCACCCCUGCUUCAACAUAAUUUAAUUUUAAUUCCUUAAUAUGAAUUAUAAGUCAUCUUCGAUUGUACAUAUUCUGAACAAAGAUGGUCUACCUUGCCCACAUUAAAUUGAGUCUUUGUUGGAGUGAUCUAGGGUGACAUAUAGUUGUUGCUUGUGUCGGUCCUUGGCCUUAUAUCACUAUGAUGUUUGUUGUCUCUCUGGUUUGUAGGUAUGUUAGUCCUCUAUGUGGGCUUUCCUGUUGUAUUUUGGUUUUGUCCUGUUGUAUUUUGGUGUCAAAUUUUAAAUGAAAAUAUCAGUACUACCAAAUAAUUUAUCCUCCUCUUCAUCCCCAUAUCUCCAAGCGAACUGAUUUCUCUCUCUUUUCUCCUCCUCUUCCUCCUUUUUCUGUCUCUAACUGCACCUAAUACUCAUCCUUUGAAACCAAACUCUUCAAUCCCCUAUUUAUAUUUUCUCGCAAGGCUGUGCAGAAAAUCGAAUCUGCAGAGAGACAAUCCGAAGGUGGUCUCGCCGGAGCUUUGCAGCAGAGGUAGAGGGAUGGUUGAUGAGCCCAUGAAGAAGGGACGGUUGAUGUUUGACAUUAAGCAUAACCUCUUUUACUGGGGAAGGAUAAAUUGGUAAAUUACAAAUAACCGCAAUAACUUCAGUGGAAGGUGAAAAAA
This 862-nucleotide long non-coding RNA is filed under the name Malus domestica (apple). RNAcentral describes it as "long non-coding RNA (MDOM_LNC013907)". The record is from RNAcentral. Lineage: Eukaryota; Viridiplantae; Streptophyta; Magnoliopsida; Rosales; Rosaceae.